Brassica oleracea var. oleracea is the source of this 1644-nucleotide long non-coding RNA. RefSeq lists it as uncharacterized. The transcript has 5 exons. NCBI's taxonomy places the organism in Eukaryota, Viridiplantae, Streptophyta, Magnoliopsida, Brassicales, Brassicaceae. The record is from RefSeq and is a predicted model, not a curated record.
GUUUUGUGAUGAAGUAAGGCCCACUAAAUGAUGCCUUUCUUUCUACUUGGAUCAUUAAUUGAAUGGAUUCAGAAGUCUGAAACCUAACGAUUCUUUUUCCACCUCCCGUCACGUAACCCCUGCCCGUUAUGGCAAAGAAUCAACAUAACCCACUAAUCACACUUUCUCCUCUUCAUUGCAUGUUUAAUUUCUCGAUCCUGAGCUUUUUCCAGAGUAAAUAUAUAGAUACACCUUCUCAUUGGCCUUUCAAAUACCUCUAAACAUUUUUCCGAUCGAUUUUUAAUUUGCAAGCUUAGACAAACAUCACACUUUCUCCUCUUCAUUGCAUGUUUAAAUCGGCGAAUGUUUCAUUAUUCUAUUAUUUUAUUUUGGGACUCUUUCGUAUUUGUAAGAAAAAUUGGUUACUCUAACUUGAACUAAUAGGGGACGACCGCAAGCUCUAUGCGGCAGAGCCGUUGGUGCUCGACAUCUGCAACCUCGAACUCAGGGAGAAUGCUCUUCACGAGUUGUCUAAGGUACACUUCGUCCAUUAAAUCUGAGUGGAACCUUCACAUGCUGAAAACAGAAUCGAACUAUCACAAUUACACUUUAGCAGCUGAGAGUGGGAAGAAGGCGAUGCAAGAAGUUCUCUUGAACUGGAAAGAUUAUGUGAUUGCACAUCAAUGGAGGAAAACUUAAGAAUCCCUGGUCAGUAACAUAUCACCUCAAAAUCUUAAACAGAGGAGGCAUGGAUGCCAAUGAGAACCUAAGCUCUCAGUUCUGUAUCAUCCUCUCUUGAUGUUUUUGAUGUUGCUAACGCCAGCCUUCUUACUUCCAUUGAUCUGAUUUCGUUGAAAUUCAAUAAUGAUGCAUGUGCUAAGAUCAACUCCAUGAUCAUCCCAUGCUGUGAAGACUUGAUAGAGCCCAAGAGUGAUCACAGUCACAAGGUCGUAGAGAUCAAAAUCCGCGCAUGGAAAUAUCUUCUUGAUGAAAACUUGUGGAUGAACCUUCGUGUUCAACGCCCAUGAAAAGACCAAACGACAUACCAAGCAUUGAGUCCGUUGAGGAACUUAGAAUUCCAGCAUCUGAGACUUACUAAAGGGUUUCAACUUUCAAGAUGGGAAACUGUUGAAGCAGGCCAGUGGUGAUGCAAAGCAGCAGCACCAGCAGCAGCAACACCUUAUACGUGCUUCCUCUGUUUACGAAGCAGCUGUGUCGGACUCAAGAUCUACCCUCUCUCGGCUGUUAACUGAGACCAAAGGUUAUUAUUGUGUCAUACUCUACAGAGAGAGUAUUGUUGCAUACAUGUCAACGUAUUUUCUUCGUGGAGGUAGUUUGAGGAUUUUACAAAGUCUUUAUUUGGUUAGUUAAGAUUUGUAUUGUUUAUUAGUUGGAACCAAAGAAAUUAUUAUCUUAUGAAUCAGUAUAUUAUGAGUCGUGUUAGUUGAAAUUACAAGCAAAUCUAUUAAGCUUUAUGGUUUCAGAUAGGUCAUGAGCUUGAGAUUAGCGAUUCCUAAUGGUAUAGUUCCAGGGAGAUAAUGCCGGUAAGAAAGAUUCUGGGAUUAAUCGACCCUAUGUGGAGAGUGUGUUCGACAACUCGGUGAUCACCCUUAUAGCAACGCAAACGUCCCACAAGCAGUAAUUAAUACCUUUCAUUCAGUUACU